RNAcentral lists this non-coding RNA (45 nucleotides) under Echinostoma caproni. The record is from RNAcentral. Lineage: Eukaryota; Metazoa; Platyhelminthes; Trematoda; Plagiorchiida; Echinostomatidae.
GCUUUGCUGACGAGUCCCAAACAGGACGAAACAACUGUUCAGUGC